RNAcentral lists this ribosomal RNA (464 nucleotides) under uncultured bacterium. RNAcentral describes it as "partial 16S ribosomal RNA". It matches the Rfam family "Bacterial small subunit ribosomal RNA", at positions 338 to 795 of the family's 1533-position model. The record is from RNAcentral.
CCUACGGGAGGCAGCAGUAGGGAAUUUUCGGCAAUGGGGGGAACCCUGACCGAGCAACGCCGCGUGAAGGAAGAAGGAAUUCGUUCUGUAAACUUCUGUUAUAAAGGAAGAAAGACGGAUGGAGGAAAUGACAUCAGAGUGACGGUACUUUAUGAGAAAGCCACGGCUAACUACGUGCCAGCAGCCGCGGUAAUACGUAGGUGGCAAGCGUUAUCCGUAUUUAUUGGGCGAAAAGAGGGAGCAGGCGGCAGCAAAGGUCUGUGGUAAAAGACUGAAGCUUAACUUCAGUAAGCCAUAGAAACCGGGCAGCUAGAGUGCAGGAGAGGAUCGUGGAAUUCCAUGUGUAGCGGUGAAAUGCGUAGAUAUAUGGAGGAACACCAGUGGCGAAGGCGACGAUCUGGCCUGCAACUGACGCUCAGUCCCGAAAGCGUGGGGAGCAAAUAGGAUUAGAUACCCCGGUAGUC